AGUAAAUAGAUACCCGGGUAGUCCACGCCGUAAACGAUGUCGACUUGGAGGUUGUGCCCUUGAGGCGUGGCUUCCGGAGCUAAACGCGUUAAAGUCGACCGCCUGGGGAGUACGGCCGCAAGGUUAAAACUCAAAUGAAUUGACGGGGGCCCGCACAAGCGGUGGAGCAUGUGGUUUAAUUCGAUGCAACGCGAAGAACCUUACCUACUCUCGACAUCCAGAGAACUUAGCAGAGAUGCUUUGGUGCCUUCGGGAACUCUGAGACAGGUGCUGCAUGGCUGUCGUCAGCUCGUGUUGUGAAAUGUUGGGUUAAGUCCCGCAACGAGCGCAACCCUUAUCCUUUGUUGCCAGCGGUUAGGCCGGGAACUCAAAGGAGACUGCCAGUGAUAAACUGGAGGAAGGUGGGGAUGACGUCAAGUCAUCAUGGCCCUUACGAGUAGGGCUACACACGUGCUACAAUGGCGCAUACAAAGAGAAGCGACCUCGCGAGAGCAAGCGGACCUCAUAAAGUGCGUCGUAGUCCGGAUUGGAGU
This 533-nucleotide ribosomal RNA is filed under the name uncultured bacterium. RNAcentral describes it as "bacterial SSU rRNA". It matches the Rfam family "Bacterial small subunit ribosomal RNA", at positions 775 to 1304 of the family's 1533-position model. The record is from RNAcentral.